RNAcentral lists this ribosomal RNA (358 nucleotides) under uncultured bacterium. RNAcentral's name for it is "bacterial SSU rRNA". It matches the Rfam family "Bacterial small subunit ribosomal RNA", at positions 28 to 412 of the family's 1533-position model. The record is from RNAcentral.
GACGAACGCUGGCGGCAUGCCUAACACAUGCAAGUCUAGGGUGUAGCAAUACACACUGGCGCACGGGUGAGUAACGCGUAGAUCAUCUGCCCCUAUCACCGACAUAACUCUUGGAACGGGAGCUAAUAUCGGAUGAGGUGAGCAAUCAUCAAAGUUUCGACGGAUAGGGAUGAGUCUGCGUCUGAUUAGGUAGUUUGGUGAGGUAAUGGCUCACCAAGCCUACGAUCAGUAGCUGGUCUGAGAGGACGAACAGCCACACUGGAACUGAGACACGGUCCAGACUCCUACGGGAGGCAGCAGUGAGGAAUAUUGGACAAUGGGAGCAAUCCUGAUCCAGCAAUGCCGCGUGUGGGAUGAC